AUUGAACGCUAGCGGGAUGCCUUACACAUGCAAGUCGAACGGAGUGGCGAACGGGUGAGUAAGGUAUCGGAACGUGCCCAGUAGCGGGGGAUAACUACGCGAACGCGUAGCUAAUACCGCAUACUAUUGGAGCGGCCGAUAUCGGAUUACGUAGCUGGUGGGGUAACGGCUCACCACGGCGACGAUCCGUAGCUGGUUUGAGAGGACGACCAGCCACACUGGAACUGAGACACGGCCCAGACUCCAACGGGAGGCAGGAGUGGGGAAUUUUGGACAAUGCGGGAAACCCUGAUCCAGCCAUCCCGCGUGGGGGAUGAAGGCCUGCGUGUUGGAGAGCACUUUUGGCAGGAAAGCGGUACCUGCAGAAUAAGCACCGGCUAACUACGUGCCAGCAGCCGCGGUAAUAC
Molecule: ribosomal RNA, 407 nt
Filed under: uncultured bacterium
Lineage: Bacteria
Description: partial 16S ribosomal RNA
Rfam family: Bacterial small subunit ribosomal RNA
Source: RNAcentral